This is a long non-coding RNA of Alligator sinensis (Chinese alligator), 1407 nucleotides long. RefSeq lists it as uncharacterized. The transcript has 3 exons. Lineage: Eukaryota; Metazoa; Chordata; Crocodylia; Alligatoridae. The record is from RefSeq and is a predicted model, not a curated record.
ACUCAGCAGCCACACAGGGAAGACAGGCAGAGGGGCGGGAAGUACUGUAUUGACAGGUGCAGUGACCGAUCAGACAGCGGAGCCGCCUCACUGACAGCUCCUUUCGCCAAUCACCGAGCAAAGGAAAUGGGCCCCGGAGGCUGACGCACAGCGCUGACCUCUCCGCCAGCGAACGGAGAAGGACACUGGACAAACUGACAGGCGCGACGGCCAAUCGGAGGGGAGAGUCAGACGCCGGCUGAUGACGCGACCUCCAGCUCUGCGAGCAGGCUUGACAGAAGAACGCCUCCUCCUCCCCCUGUAACCCUAAACAAAGCUGCUGAUUGGUGCGGCCGGGCGGGCGGCACCCAAUAGACGCGGCUGGAGUGGGGUGCGGCGCGCUGGUUGGCCGCGGCGCUGUGAGGCGCCGGGCUGAGCCGUCCCGUGAGGCGGCUACUGAUGCGUGCGGGAGCGCUGCUCUGGGCCCUGCUCUUGGCCGAGGCGGCGCGGCACGAGCCAAGCGCAGCUCCCGGCCCGCGUGUGCGCAACUCCCCGGAGCACAGAGAGCCCCGCGGGAGGCGCUGCGCAGGGAGCGGGGCGGGAUCCCGUGCUCCGCUGCCGUGAGCUGCGUCGUCCUGCGGCCGCGGGCGCUCCCUCCAGGCCCGGCCUCAUUCACCCUCCAGCUGCUGCAGAAAAAGAGCGGAGCGUGACAGGCAGCGGUGCUGUUCCCCGGCCGCCCGGGGCACGAGGGAGGCAGGAAUCUUGCGGUCAAAAUGCGCUGUAGGUUCCCGUGCACACCAGGGAAUCCCGUUCAAGCCAUGCGUAGCAGUGCAGUGACAUGUCUCCUCGCUGCCCGGUCUGUUACAACCGUGCAUUAAAACUGUAUUGCAAACAUACAAGCGAAGGCUCAGGUGGAAUCUUCAGAAAGGCGAGGGCUGUUUUCCAGAGGCUCCCGACUGCGCGGAGGUUCGGCACGUGUUCAUAGGGACAAUGCAAGAUGUAUCCUUCAUGAAGGUUAAGUGCCCUGCCAGGCUUCCAGCCCCUGCUUCAAAGCAUGGUAGUGCCACAGCUUCACACUGAAUUCUUGCAAGUUUUUUUUAAAGUGGAUCAGUGGAUUCUUCCUCCGUGGGACUGUCUCUCCACCUGGGGAUCAAUCCACUACUGUAAUGAUCUGAUCCAAAGACCAUUGGGAUCAAGAGGAGAAACUCACUCUCUGAUUUUUGUAGACAUUGGUCAGCCCCUUGUACCUGCUUUUUCACAUUUCCUGGCAUUCUUAUUUUUCCUUUCAUUUAUCUAACAACAGGGUGCAUAUUUUUACACAGUAUAUAGAAUUCUGAGCUACUUGCAGAAGAAUAUAUUUGAUAUUUUAUUUAAUAGUCUACUGAUUUCUGCAUUGUUUUCUGGGAGGGCAGGGUGUUGUUGGUUUGU